GCUUUCUCUCUGUUCAUCAGGUGCCGCCAGUGAGCACAUGACAAUCCGGGUCUCUGUCUCUCUUCCAGCAGCUGAAGUGGCAGGCCGGGCUGAGCAGGCGGCUCUCUGACGGGUGUGCCGCCUGCGUCCACCGGCCACCUCGCACGCCCUCCUGUCUGGCGCUGUGUGCACCAGAGUCCUGGUCCUUGAUCUGGCUGGAGGGGAGUGAUCUUGCCCCCAGGGAUUCUGCAAUGUCUGAGGACAUCUUUGGUUGUCACUAUGAGAAGUGCUCCUGGCACUGGUGGGUUUUGGCGGGGGAGGUGCUAAUCACCCUACAAUGCAUGGGACAGGCGCCCCCACAGCAGUCUCCAGCCCCAAAUGUCAGCCAUGCCGAGACGAGCAGCCCUGUUCUCUGGUAAUGGAACACUGACCUUGGACUAUGGCUGCCACAAAAACAGUAUACCUCUGGCUUCCUGCAGCAGGUACAGCCACGUGACCACGUUCUGACCAAGGGAGGGCCAGCAGAGGCAGGUUCCAGGUGGAGCACCUGUGAUGGGGGAUGUGGCCUGCCGUCCCACUGUAGGGAUGUAAAUGUGAUGCCAUGGCCAGGCCUGGAGAAACCCCGAGACCUCCAGGGCAGGAUGCCCACCUUGGACAGUCAAGGGAAGAGAUGGGGGGCCCCAGAUCCUCAGCCCCACAGGGUCUUGGGCGGGUCCUAUCAGGACUUGUGUGUGAGAGAAAAAAACUCCAUCUGGCUUAAGCCAACACGUGGGGUCUUUUUGUCACAGCAGCAGCACCUGUACCCUGACUUAGGAUUCUGAGUGCCAGACUGGUGCUGUUCUGGAACAGAACCCAGGACAGAUCUGCAGUUGAAAUCAGAGACUUAAACUGGGCCAGCUCUGUUUUCUUCUCACGGCUUCUGGGAAAGGAAAACUUGAGAAGAAAACACAGCCAAUCUUGCUGAGCAUGGCUCCAGGUGCCUGGGAUCCAACCCAAACAUUCCAGGACCACGGGCAGCUCUGCCUGCACCCCUACCUCUUCCCGCCUGAAGUACUUGGGACAGGAUGGACACAGGAAGCCAGAGGGUGCGUCCAGGGUCAGCACGAACGUGAGCACUCUUAUUUUUCCAAACAUGUUAAGGCCCUUUGGCAUUUUCCGAUUUAAAAAACCCUACAGCCAAACAAAACAAAGAACCCAAAGCUCCUUCUCACUCCAAAGCACUUGUGGGCUAUGGUCACUCCACGCACACAUGGUGGACAAGCAGUCAGUUCCAUUUAGAAGCGUCCCCCCCAGGAGCACCCCUGGUUCUCAGGGGGGACAGGUGAGAUGCAAGGCACCCCACACUGCCCUCCCUGAGGUCCAGCCUGUGUCCCGGUUGGGGCGUGAGAACAGGCCAUAUCCUUAGCUUCCAUCAUGAGUGGCCACGCUGGGGACAGGCUCUGCCUCCCUGAGGCCCCUUUAGAGCCCCAUAUACUUGGUGCUCAGCAAAGCUGCAGCUGAAAGCCGGUGGCUUGGGCAAGGCUGGCCUUGGGUGUCAUAGGCCUCGACUGACUCACCUGCAAAGCAGGCUGGGAAGGCGUCUCUGGCCAGGACACGAAGGGUGGCCCACACUGGGUGCCUGGCCACACCGGUCUGG
This 1615-nucleotide long non-coding RNA is filed under the name Marmota monax (woodchuck). Lineage: Eukaryota; Metazoa; Chordata; Mammalia; Rodentia; Sciuridae. The record is from RNAcentral.